UGGGGAAUAUUGGACAAUGGGCGCAAGCCUGAUCCAGCAAUGCCGCGUGUGUGAAGAAGGCCUUCGGGUUGUAAAGCACUUUUAUCAGGAGCGAAACGCUGUCGGCUAAUACCCGGCGGAACUGACGGUACCUGAGGAAUAAGCACCGGCUAACUUCGUGCCAGCAGCCGCGGUAAUACGAAGGGUGCAAGCGUUAAUCGGAAUUACUGGGCGUAAAGCGUGCGUAGGCGGUUUCUUAGUCUGCUGUGAAAUCCCCGGGCUCAACCUGGGAAUGGCAGUGGAUACUGGGAGGCUAAGUGUGUCAGAGGGUGGUGGAAUUCCCGGUGUAGCGGUGAAAUGCGUAGAGAUCGGGAGGAACAUCAGUGGCGAAGGCGGCCACCUGGGACAACACUGACGCUNAGGCACGAAAGCGUGGGGAGCAAACAGGAUUAGAUACCCUGGUAGUCCACGCCCUAAACGAUGCGAACUGGAUGUUGGUCUCAACUCGGAGAUCAGUGUCGAAGCUAACGCGUUAAGUUCGCCNCCUGGGGAGUACGGUCGCAAGACUGAAACUCAAAGGAAUUGACGGGGUCAU
This 574-nucleotide ribosomal RNA is filed under the name uncultured bacterium. Its description in RNAcentral is "partial 16S ribosomal RNA". It matches the Rfam family "Bacterial small subunit ribosomal RNA", at positions 355 to 922 of the family's 1533-position model. The record is from RNAcentral.